RNAcentral lists this unclassified non-coding RNA (358 nucleotides) under soil metagenome. Its description in RNAcentral is "partial contains 5.8S ribosomal RNA, internal transcribed spacer 2, and large subunit ribosomal RNA". The stretch from base 1 to 120 matches the Rfam family "5.8S ribosomal RNA", at positions 35 to 154 of the family's 154-position model. The record is from RNAcentral.
GAUGAAGAACGUAGCGAAAUGCGAUAAGUAAUGUGAAUUGCAGAAUUCAGUGAAUCAUCGAAUCUUUGAACGCACAUUGCGCCCGUCAGUAUUCUGGCGGGCAUGCCUGUUCGAGCGUCAUUACGCCCCUCAAGUCCCCUGUGGACUUGGUGUUGGGGAUCGGCGAGGCUGGUUUUCCAGCACAGCCGUCCCUUAAAUUAAUUGGCGGUCUCGCCGUGGCCCUCCUCUGCGCAGUAGUAAAACACUCGCAACAUGAGCCCGGCGCGGUCCACUGCCGUAAAACCCCCCAACUUUUUAUAGUUGACCUCGAAUCAGGUAGGACUACCCGCUGAACUUAAGCAUAUCAAUAAGCGGAGGA